GACAAACAGGUCAAGUUAAGUCUAAUUGGUAUAAAAGGAAGUUAAAAUAUUAUAUACUGAAAAGUUUAAUUUAAUGUAAAGAGGUGGAAUUCGUAUACAUUAAGUUAUAUUUAAUACUUUUUAAUGUUUGACGCUUCGAUAGCUAAGUAAGAAACCGGGAUUAGAUACCCCGUUAUUUUUUCUGUAAAUUUUGAUUAUUUAAUAAUUUGCCUGAGUAUUACGGGUUGAAGACUUUUGUGUAUUAUGUUAUAUAAUGUACAAAGUAUUUAGAUACUUAAAACUCAAAAAACUUGGCGGUGCCUUAUUUCCUCCCAGGGGAACCUGUCCUAUAAUCGAUGAUCCACGAUUUAUCUUACUUUUUUUUGAAUUUCUAUUUUGAUAUAUCAGUUUGUAUACCGUCGUCGUCAGAUUACCUUUAAGAGUAAAGAAGUUGUCGGAUAAAUUAGAAAGCUAGGUUUAUAUAAACUAGUUUUAGUUUUUGAUGUCAGAUCAAGGUGCAGCUUAUAAAAAAGUAGAGAUGGGUUACAAUAUAGAUUUUAUAUUAUGAAUACUAGCUUGUAAAAGCUAGGUGAAAGCGGACUUGGAAGUAAUGUUAAUUUAAGUU
Molecule: ribosomal RNA, 604 nt
Filed under: Jujubinus striatus
Lineage: Eukaryota; Metazoa; Mollusca; Gastropoda; Trochida; Trochidae
Description: partial 12S ribosomal RNA
Source: RNAcentral